RNAcentral lists this long non-coding RNA (1752 nucleotides) under Betta splendens (Siamese fighting fish). RNAcentral describes it as "lncRNA (ENSBSLG00000012625.1)". Lineage: Eukaryota; Metazoa; Chordata; Actinopteri; Anabantiformes; Osphronemidae. The record is from RNAcentral.
AAAAGAAGACUUUUAAAGGAAUACCUCCGGUUUUUAAUUUGAAAUCUUCUUUGACGCGCUGUCACACAUUUGGGGGCGAAAUGAAAUUGCUUUUCGUCAAAAGCAUCGGCGCGGGUAAACAUCUCGACGUUUUCCAUGCUUCCGUCUCAGCAACGCAAUCCACUCUGUUUCCACACAGAUCCGGGGAUCAACUGUUGCGGCGGGGGAGGGGGGCCGGCGGUCGCCGCAGACAUCGGGAUCAGAAACUCCAAACAGGGAUAACACCCUCUCAGCAUUCAGUGUUUUCAAUCAGGGGAUCAGCUACUGUGACUGGAAACCAAAUGUCCCAGACGAGCCAUCGCACAGAAGUUUCCGCCAGGCGAAAGCUGGCACGACUAAUAUGGCUUGUCAUAGUGAAAAUGGCCCGGCAUUGUUCUCACCUUCCGGAAAAGUCCCGACGGCGCCCGUGCCCGUUCACGGCGAACAGCGUUACAGUCAACUGCCAAUCUGGGCCCUGCUGUUCGGGGCCUCGCCUGCUGACAAAUGGCCCGGAGGAGAGGUCCGAGGAGAGUCCUGUCAGAGGCAGCGAGCCUCUGCAGCGAUGCUGGCGAAGGCGGAGGCGGAGGCGGAGGAGGCGCUCGCCAAAUAGAUCUCAGCAGAAACCUCCGACGCUGAGCGCUCCGGUCCCUGGCACCGGCGCCCGAUCCGUUUGUGUCAACGCGGGGAGAUGCUGACGCUCCAGAUGUGCGCGAUUCAAAUCCGUCAGCCGCAACAGCCGGGCUUCUAAAUGAAGGCGGCGUUUCUGCAGCGGUCGACACAAAGUGCCGCAAGAAGACGAAAGGGCCGACGCGGAGGCGCUCACAGCUCACACUGCGCUUCGUGGAGAGCAUCCGUGGCCGUGGUUAAUCACAGCAACUGGAUUUGGGCUCCUGUGGCUCGGAGCCCAGUGGAACGAGCCCAGACGCCGAGGCGCCGUCCCACCAGCAGGUGGAGGAGGCACACGCGGGAUCCGCUGCCGAUGCGGUGCUGCAUCCCCGCGAGGCGCUGCCACGAGCUCCCCCUGGGGGCCGCGCGCCCGGCGGCGGGAAGGGGCCCGGCGGGGACGCGGGACAGGGCGCCGGCCGCCACCAGGACCCGCGCUCCCAGCCGCCGCGUGCUGAGCGCGCCCCGUGUUGCGCAUUAUGAAUCAUUUCAUUGUAAAUAUCCUGGAGGAGCGCUCUAAAUUCCACAUUUGGUUCAACAGCCUGAAGUGGUUUGUGUUGAAAGCGUCGCUUUUGUGCGGAAUACUACUGAAGCAACUCUGGUGGGUGGGUGAUGGUGGUGGUGGGGGGGGCAUAGACUCGCAGCAAAGUCACAGUCAGUGUUAUAAUAGAAACAAGGCAGGAGAAGUGAUACAUACAGAACAGACGCGUGCACGUGAGCUGCAGCGCUGCACGUGUUACAACUCGCUGCUAGAGAGACGUCUCACUCCAGGGGUGUAGUGUUGCAUUGUGACAGAUAUUAAUGUCACUGAGGAACAUGAUGGAUGGAAUUCCUUUAUGAUGUUGCUUUCUAUCUCAGACUCUGUCUCUCAGAGCCUGGCACGCCGCAGACAGGCCUUUAAUGAGCUCUGGAAGCAUCCAUAUCUGCUGACAGCCCUUCCUUAGCCGCCUCUUUGCCGCUGCCGACUCCCAGGGAGACGGGGGAAGUCUACGACAGAACACCCAGACGUCUUGUACCCGACAACAGGAAACACGGAAUAAAUUAGGUUCUUUUUUUUUAAGCCUUUAAUUA